ACAGGUCUUCGGAUGCUGACGAGUGGCGAACGGGUGAGUAAUGCAUCGGAACGUGCCCAGUCGUGGGGGAUAACGCAGCGAAAGCUGUGCUAAUACCGCAUACGAUCUAUGGAUGAAAGCGGGGGAUCGCAAGACCUCGCGCGAUUGGAGCGGCCGAUGUCAGAUUAGCUAGUUGGUGGGGUAAAGGCCCACCAAGGCGACGAUCUGUAGCUGGUCUGAGAGGACGACCAGCCACACUGGGACUGAGACACGGCCCAGACUCCUACGGGAGGCAGCAGUGGGGAAUUUUGGACAAUGGGCGCAAGCCUGAUCCAGCAAUGCCGCGUGCAGGAAGAAGGCCUUCGGGUUGUAAACUGCUUUUGUACGGAACGAUAAGGUCUGGGUUAAUACCCUGGGCUCAUGACGGUACCGUAAGAAUAAGCACCGGCUAACUACGUGCCAGCAGCCGCGGUAAUACGUAGGGUGCAAGCGUUAAUCGGAAUUACUGGGCGUAAAGCGUGCGCAGGCGGUUUUGUAAGACAGGCGUGAAAUCCCCGGGCUCAACCUGGGAAUGGCGCUUGUGACUGCAAAGCUGGAGUGCGGCAGAGGGGGAUGGAAUUCCGCGUGUAGCAGUGAAAUGCGUAGAUAUGCGGAGGAACACCAAUGGCGAAGGCAAUCCCCUGGGCCUGCACUGACGCUCAUGCACGAAAGCGUGGGGAGCAAACAGGAUUAGAUACCCUGGUAGUCCACGCCCUAAACGAUGUCAACUGGUUGUUGGUCCUUAGCUGGAUCAGUAACGAAGCUGACGCGUGAAGUUGAC
Molecule: ribosomal RNA, 799 nt
Filed under: uncultured beta proteobacterium
Lineage: Bacteria; Pseudomonadati; Pseudomonadota; Betaproteobacteria
Description: bacterial SSU rRNA
Rfam family: Bacterial small subunit ribosomal RNA
Source: RNAcentral